Molecule: ribosomal RNA, 1500 nt
Filed under: Triticum aestivum (bread wheat)
Lineage: Eukaryota; Viridiplantae; Streptophyta; Magnoliopsida; Poales; Poaceae
Description: partial small subunit ribosomal RNA
Source: RNAcentral
AUGCAAAAUAUUCUGCUACAAUUUUCUGAGGCCACUGGGCUGAAAAUCAAUUUCCAUAAAAGCACCUUUGCCCUGAUCCACGUCGACCCAAAUCUCUCGACUAGCCUUGCCACAAUCCUGGGCUGCCCAGUUGCCACCUUCCCGCAAUCGUACUUGGGCUUGCCUCUAUCCACUCACAAGCUAAACCUGGCUGACUUCUUCUUCAUCAUUGACAAGGUCGAUCACCGUCUUGCUGGGUGGAGGGGCCUUUUGCUCUCCUUGGCCGGGAGGGCCAUCCUGGUCCGCUCCGUUCUACGCGCCCUGCCAAUCUAUGCCAUAAGUGUCCUUCUUCUACCUGCUGGAACCAUCCAGGAAAUCGAGAAACGCUGCAGGGCCUUCUUUUGGUCUGGUCAGGAAUCUACCUCAGGCGGCAACUGCAAGGUCGCUUGGGACCUCGUUUGUGCUCCCAUCGCCAAUGGGGGCCUUGGUUUCCUCUCUCUACCCCACAUGAACAUGUGUCUUCUUCUCAAACAUAUUUCCAAGUUACACGACGAGCAAAUCUCGGGAGAGACUAGGUACUUGAUCACCAAAUACGGAUGGUCGACCGCUAACGAUGUAGGCAUGUUGGACAACCAGCAUACCCCGAUUUGGAAAGACAUUAUGAAAGGCCUCGCCCUCUUCCGGGACACCACCCGGGUCAGCGUCGGUAAUGGAUCCACUACCUCCUUUUGGCUUGACCUUUGGCUCCCUGGCUCAGCUCAAACCCUAGCCCUUCAAUUUCCGGCUCUGUUUUCACACUCCAAUCGAGUCCACACAUCAGUGGCACGCGCUUUGACCUCGAACGACCUCACCUUGGAUCUAACACCUAGGCUGUCUCACGCAGCCGAAUGCGAACUGCUUGAACUACGCACUAUAUUGGCCACGGUGAACUUAAAUAUGCAGGUGGCUGACAUGAGAACUACAAGGGGCGCUGAGAAACCUUUCACCGCUAAGCUUGCUUACCAUGCGGUUUGGAGGACAAAGCCCACGGACACGCUAGCCCCGGCCAUCUGGCGAAACUACGCCCCAAAUAAAUGCCGACUCUACCUCUGGCUUGCCCGCAAGGACUGCCUCUUCACGAAUGAACGUCGGGUCAGACGGGGCAUUGCUACUUCAGCCGCAUGCCCCUUCUGCGACCACUGUGAAUCCAUCAACCACCUCCUUUUCGAAUGUCAGCACCUUGCUCCUCUUUGGGGGGAGCUAGACAGCCUCUGUCCAAGUGCGCCACAGGGGCUGCUCCAAGCUUGGGAAGGCGAAUGGCACAACAAAACUAGAUCAACUGUUCUUCUGGCCGUUCUUUGGAAUAUCUGGAAGCGACGGAACGCCAAGGUCUUUCGGAACAUACAUCUUGGGCUUCAUGAUGUGGCAAGCUCCUCUGCGGAAGAUCUUAAACUUUGGUCCCACCGCUGUAAUAAUAUUCAAAAACAAAUUCAACUCAGGGACUGGGGCUCCAUGUUGUUCCACCUUGCCGGGAGAAUUUAG